UUCUGGCAAACCAGUGAGGCACUUUCCUUUUAUGGUCACUCUUGCAACCUGGGGGAGGUGCUUCCUGGAGCAACCCAGAGCCCACGCCUGCAGCGGGCAUUCCUCCACCUUGUUUAUGACGCACAACCAGUAACACUCCCAUGCCAGCCCACUCCACUUCUGAGGCCACCCGGGUUGGACCCCGACUGAUGCAUUUCCCGAGGGCAGUUAAUGUUGACCCCACCUUACAGAUGAGAUUAGCCCAAGCUGCGGGGUCCAGUGACUUGAUCAAGGUCCCAUAACCAGUUGUGGAGAAGUUGGGAUUUGAACCUGGAUCUGGUGUGGACUAUGCCCUGCCAGUGGGUUAGAGACUACUUCACACAGGAUUGUGGAGGUAGGUCGCCCUCGUUCUACUCAGCCUCAGAGACAAGGAGGAAGACCAGGGAGUGGAUGGUAAGGGAAAGCAAACUUUGGUCCAACACAGAAAGAGCUUUACAAUAGUCAAGAUUUGUGGUAGUGAGGUGCCCAUCACCAGAUGUAUUCAAGCAGAUGAUUCUUUCCUAGGGAUAUUGUAGAAGAUCCUCAAACUUUAGAUAAGGAUGGAUUCGACAGUCUUUCAGGAUCUCUUCCAACCCAGAGAGCCUACACAGUUAUUUCACUGAGAAGAAAACGAUGACAAAAUCUUGAGCUCAUUGAAGGAAGGAAUGUGCCUUAUUCGUCAUGGACUCACUAUCCCUAGAACAUAUGGGCACAUAUAAUAAA
Molecule: long non-coding RNA, 741 nt
Organism: Neofelis nebulosa (Clouded leopard)
Lineage: Eukaryota; Metazoa; Chordata; Mammalia; Carnivora; Felidae
Exons: 3
Source: RefSeq, a predicted model, not a curated record